Molecule: long non-coding RNA, 247 nt
Filed under: Elaeis guineensis (African oil palm)
Lineage: Eukaryota; Viridiplantae; Streptophyta; Magnoliopsida; Arecales; Arecaceae
Description: long non-coding RNA (EGUI_LNC049944)
Source: RNAcentral
GUGCCAGUUCAAUCAGCAUGACCUAACCCAAUUCAAUGACUUGGUAAAGUCAAUGGGAGGAUUAUGGUCUAUUGAGUGAUCUUUUCUUCUCUUUUCUCUAAAUCGAUUAAAUCUUCUAAAUUAUUAGAUCCUUAAAAUGAGCUGGUUAUGGUGAUGACUAGAUCAUAGCCUCCCAUUAAGGUGAGUGAUAAUUAAUCUAUUAUUUUUUAUUAACAUUGCAGGCGCCAUCCAUCUGAUAUUCUCUCUG